GUAGGCUAACACAUGCAAGUCGAACGGCAGCACAGGAGAGCUUGCUCUCUGGGUGGCGAGUGGCGGACGGGUGAGGAAUACAUCGGAAUCUACUUUUUCGUGGGGGAUAACGUAGGGAAACUUACGCUAAUACCGCAUACGACCUACGGGUGAAAGCAGGGGAUCUUCGGACCUUGCGCGAUUGAAUGAGCCGAUGUCGGAUUAGCUAGUUGGCGGGGUAAAGGCCCACCAAGGCGACGAUCCGUAGCUGGUCUGAGAGGAUGAUCAGCCACACUGGAACUGAGACACGGUCCAGACUCCUACGGGAGGCAGCAGUGGGGAAUAUUGGACAAUGGGCGCAAGCCUGAUCCAGCCAUACCGCGUGGGUGAAGAAGGCCUUCGGGUUGUAAAGCCCUUUUGUUGGGAAAGAAAUCCAGCUGGCUAAUACCCGGUUGGGAUGACGGUACCCAAAGAAUAAGCACCGGCUAACUUCGUGCCAGCAGCCGCGGUAAUACGAAGGGUGCAAGCGUUACUCGGAAUUACUGGGCGUAAAGCGUGCGUAGGUGGUCGUUUAAGUCCGUUGUGAAAGCCCUGGGCUCAACCUGGGAACUGCAGUGGAUACUGGACGACUAGAGUGUGGUAGAGGGUAGCGGAAUUCCUGGUGUAGCAGUGAAAUGCGUAGAGAUCAGGAGGAACAUCCAUGGCGAAGGCAGCUACCUGGACCAACACUGACACUGAGGCACGAAAGCGUGGGGAGCAAACAGGAUUAGAUANCCUGGUAGUCCACGCCCUAAACGAUGCGAACUGGAUGUUGGGUGCAAUUUGGCACGCAGUAUCGAAGCUAACGCGUUAAGUUCGCC
Molecule: ribosomal RNA, 839 nt
Filed under: uncultured Stenotrophomonas sp.
Lineage: Bacteria; Pseudomonadati; Pseudomonadota; Gammaproteobacteria; Lysobacterales; Lysobacteraceae
Description: bacterial SSU rRNA
Rfam family: Bacterial small subunit ribosomal RNA
Source: RNAcentral